AGUGAACGCUGGCGGUAGGCCUAACACAUGCAAGUCGAACGGCAGCACAGUAAGAGCUUGCUCUUACGGGUGGCGAGUGGCGGACGGGUGAGGAAUACAUCGGAAUCUACUUUUUCGUGGGGGAUAACGUAGGGAAACUUACGCUAAUACCGCAUACGACCUACGGGUGAAAGCAGGGGAUCUUCGGACCUUGCGCGAUUGAAUGAGACGAUGUCGGAUUAGCUAGUUGGCGGGGUAAAGGCCCACCAAGGCGACGAUCCGUAGCUGGUCUGAGAGGAUGAUCAGCCACACUGGAACUGGGACACGGUCCAGACUCCUACGGGAGGGGGCAGUGGGGAAUAUUGGACAAUGGGCGCAAGCCUGAUCCAGCCAUACCGCGUGGGUGAAGAAGGCCUUCGAGUUGUAGAGCCCUUUUGUUGGGAAAGAAAAGCAGCAGGUUAAUACCCCGCUGUUCUGACGGUACCCAAAGAAUAAGCACCGGCUAACUUCGUG
RNAcentral lists this ribosomal RNA (492 nucleotides) under uncultured bacterium. RNAcentral describes it as "partial 16S ribosomal RNA". It matches the Rfam family "Bacterial small subunit ribosomal RNA", at positions 29 to 507 of the family's 1533-position model. The record is from RNAcentral.